Molecule: ribosomal RNA, 245 nt
Filed under: uncultured bacterium
Lineage: Bacteria
Description: partial 16S ribosomal RNA
Rfam family: Bacterial small subunit ribosomal RNA
Source: RNAcentral
UACAGAGGUGGCAAGCGUUGUUCGGAAUCAUUGGGCGUAAAGGGUCCGUAGGCGGCCCGGAAAGUUGGAUGUGAAAUCCCACGGCUUAACCGUGGAAUUGCGUUCAAAACUUCCGGGCUAGAGUGUGAGAGGGGUAGAGGGAAUUCCCGGUGUAAGGGUGAAAUCUGCAGAGAUCGGGAGGAACACCAGUCGCGAAGGCGCUCUACUGGCUCAUGCCUGACGCUGAGGGACGAAAGCUAGGGGAG